Molecule: long non-coding RNA, 531 nt
Filed under: Pan troglodytes (chimpanzee)
Lineage: Eukaryota; Metazoa; Chordata; Mammalia; Primates; Hominidae
Description: lincRNA
Source: RNAcentral
UGGGAACGUCGGGUCAGGCCUUGGGCCAACGUAGGCUCUCUCGCAGUUCCUCCGCCUUCAGGAAGGUCUUUUUGGCAGGGGCCUUACGGGUGCGCGCUUCGGUCCUGGAGGCCUUAUCUAAGCCUCCUCUCCAUCAGCGCCACCCGUCUGGGGCCCGAAAGGAGGGAGCUUUCCCUCUGUCCCCCAGCCUUUGGACUGUCACCAAACAAGCCAUUCGUUCACCAAAUACUUAUUAAGCGCCUACCAUGUACUAUCCUAGAUUGUCUUGUGAUAUUUACAAUCAGAAGGCAGGAGAGAGAACUAAGAACAGAGAGCAUGUUCUGAGAUGUCUGCUUUGUUUGCAGAAAUGAGGCUUCUCCCCAGGACCAGCAUUCCACGAAGGCAGCCCUUUUCUAGAUGGAGAAAAUAGAACCUGAAGGCACCCGUUUCCCUAAACCGCUCUCGCUCAUGUCUGUCAGAGAAAGGAAAUGAAGCAGUGAAAGCAUCCUCCCAAAAGGGACUUUUAAAUCCUUCUACCUGGGCUGAACUACA